RNAcentral lists this long non-coding RNA (201 nucleotides) under Lathyrus oleraceus (garden pea). RNAcentral describes it as "Pisum sativum (pea) long non-coding RNA (PSAT_LNC030036)". The record is from RNAcentral. Lineage: Eukaryota; Viridiplantae; Streptophyta; Magnoliopsida; Fabales; Fabaceae.
AUGUAUGUAGGGAGGAAUCAUCUCCCUUUAGUGGAAAUAGGGGUAACCUAUUCCAUGUGCUCUUUUCUUAAUUCCUCCCUUGGGUCUUUCUCUGUGGGCCUUAUGAAUGGCCCAUAAAAAGUUCCAUUCAAGCCCUUAUCUUUACUUUGUAUGACGAGGGUUUGUCGAGUACUCCCCUAGGCUGACCGUUGGUAGGAGCAU